RNAcentral lists this ribosomal RNA (2920 nucleotides) under Bacillus anthracis (anthrax bacterium). RNAcentral's name for it is "bacterial LSU rRNA". It matches the Rfam family "Bacterial large subunit ribosomal RNA". Lineage: Bacteria; Bacillati; Bacillota; Bacilli; Caryophanales; Bacillaceae. The record is from RNAcentral.
UUAAGUUAGAAAGGGCGCACGGUGGAUGCCUUGACACUAGGAGUCGAUGAAGGACGGGACUAACGCCGAUAUGCUUCGGGGAGCUGUAAGUAAGCUUUGAUCCGAAGAUUUCCGAAUGGGGAAACCCACCAUACGUAAUGGUAUGGUAUCCUUAUCUGAAUACAUAGGGUAAGGAAGACAGACCCGGGGAACUGAAACAUCUAAGUACCUGGAGGAAGAGAAAGCAAAUGCGAUUUCCUGAGUAGCGGCGAGCGAAACGGAACAUAGCCCAAACCAAGAGGCUUGCCUCUUGGGGUUGUAGGACAUUCUAUACGGAGUUACAAAGGAACGAGGUAGACGAAGCGACCUGGAAAGGUCCGUCGUAGAGGGUAACAACCCCGUAGUCGAAACUUCGCUCUCUCUUGAAUGUAUCCUGAGUACGGCGGAACACGUGAAAUUCCGUCGGAAUCUGGGAGGACCAUCUCCCAAGGCUAAAUACUCCCUAGUGAUCGAUAGUGAACCAGUACCGUGAGAGAAAGGUGAAAAGCACCCCGGAAGGGGAGUGAAAGAGAUCCUGAAACCGUGUGCCUACAAAUAGUCAGAGCCCGUUAACGGGUGAUGGCGUGCCUUUUGUAGAAUGAACCGGCGAGUUACGAUCCCGUGCGAGGUUAAGCUGAAGAGGCGGAGCCGCAGCGAAAGCGAGUCUGAAUAGGGCGUUUAGUACGUGGUCGUAGACCCGAAACCAGGUGAUCUACCCAUGUCCAGGGUGAAGUUCAGGUAACACUGAAUGGAGGCCCGAACCCACGCACGUUGAAAAGUGCGGGGAUGAGGUGUGGGUAGCGGAGAAAUUCCAAUCGAACCUGGAGAUAGCUGGUUCUCCCCGAAAUAGCUUUAGGGCUAGCCUUAAGUGUAAGAGUCUUGGAGGUAGAGCACUGAUUGGACUAGGGGUCCUCAUCGGAUUACCGAAUUCAGUCAAACUCCGAAUGCCAAUGACUUAUCCUUAGGAGUCAGACUGCGAGUGAUAAGAUCCGUAGUCAAAAGGGAAACAGCCCAGACCGCCAGCUAAGGUCCCAAAGUGUGUAUUAAGUGGAAAAGGAUGUGGAGUUGCUUAGACAACUAGGAUGUUGGCUUAGAAGCAGCCACCAUUUAAAGAGUGCGUAAUAGCUCACUAGUCGAGUGACUCUGCGCCGAAAAUGUACCGGGGCUAAAUACACCACCGAAGCUGCGGAUUGAUACCAAUGGUAUCAGUGGUAGGGGAGCGUUCUAAGGACAGUGAAGUCAGACCGGAAGGACUGGUGGAGUGCUUAGAAGUGAGAAUGCCGGUAUGAGUAGCGAAAGACGGGUGAGAAUCCCGUCCACCGAAUGCCUAAGGUUUCCUGAGGAAGGCUCGUCCGCUCAGGGUUAGUCAGGACCUAAGCCGAGGCCGACAGGCGUAGGCGAUGGACAACAGGUUGAUAUUCCUGUACCACCUCUUUAUCGUUUGAGCAAUGGAGGGACGCAGAAGGAUAGAAGAAGCGUGCGAUUGGUUGUGCACGUCCAAGCAGUUAGGCUGAUAAGUAGGCAAAUCCGCUUAUCGUGAAGGCUGAGCUGUGAUGGGGAAGCUCCUUAUGGAGCGAAGUCUUUGAUUCCCCGCUGCCAAGAAAAGCUUCUAGCGAGAUAAAAGGUGCCUGUACCGCAAACCGACACAGGUAGGCGAGGAGAGAAUCCUAAGGUGUGCGAGAGAACUCUGGUUAAGGAACUCGGCAAAAUGACCCCGUAACUUCGGGAGAAGGGGUGCUUUCUUAACGGAAAGCCGCAGUGAAUAGGCCCAAGCGACUGUUUAGCAAAAACACAGCUCUCUGCGAAGCCGUAAGGCGAAGUAUAGGGGGUGACACCUGCCCGGUGCUGGAAGGUUAAGGAGAGGGGUUAGCGUAAGCGAAGCUCUGAACUGAAGCCCCAGUAAACGGCGGCCGUAACUAUAACGGUCCUAAGGUAGCGAAAUUCCUUGUCGGGUAAGUUCCGACCCGCACGAAAGGUGUAACGAUUUGGGCACUGUCUCAACCAGAGACUCGGUGAAAUUAUAGUACCUGUGAAGAUGCAGGUUACCCGCGACAGGACGGAAAGACCCCGUGGAGCUUUACUGUAGCCUGAUAUUGAAUUUUGGUACAGUUUGUACAGGAUAGGCGGGAGCCUUUGAAACCGGAGCGCUAGCUUCGGUGGAGGCGCUGGUGGGAUACCGCCCUGACUGUAUUGAAAUUCUAACCUACGGGUCUUAUCGACCCGGGAGACAGUGUCAGGUGGGCAGUUUGACUGGGGCGGUCGCCUCCUAAAGUGUAACGGAGGCGCCCAAAGGUUCCCUCAGAAUGGUUGGAAAUCAUUCGUAGAGUGCAAAGGCAUAAGGGAGCUUGACUGCGAGACCUACAAGUCGAGCAGGGACGAAAGUCGGGCUUAGUGAUCCGGUGGUUCCGCAUGGAAGGGCCAUCGCUCAACGGAUAAAAGCUACCCCGGGGAUAACAGGCUUAUCUCCCCCAAGAGUCCACAUCGACGGGGAGGUUUGGCACCUCGAUGUCGGCUCAUCGCAUCCUGGGGCUGUAGUCGGUCCCAAGGGUUGGGCUGUUCGCCCAUUAAAGCGGUACGCGAGCUGGGUUCAGAACGUCGUGAGACAGUUCGGUCCCUAUCCGUCGUGGGCGUAGGAAAUUUGAGAGGAGCUGUCCUUAGUACGAGAGGACCGGGAUGGACGCACCGCUGGUGUACCAGUUGUUCUGCCAAGGGCAUAGCUGGGUAGCUAUGUGCGGAAGGGAUAAGUGCUGAAAGCAUCUAAGCAUGAAGCCCCCCUCAAGAUGAGAUUUCCCAUAGCGUAAGCUAGUAAGAUCCCUGAAAGAUGAUCAGGUUGAUAGGUUCGAGGUGGAAGCAUGGUGACAUGUGGAGCUGACGAAUACUAAUAGAUCGAGGACUUAACCAU